RNAcentral lists this transfer RNA (68 nucleotides) under Euphaea ochracea. RNAcentral describes it as "tRNA-Gln". The record is from RNAcentral. Lineage: Eukaryota; Metazoa; Arthropoda; Insecta; Odonata; Euphaeidae.
UAUAUCUUGGUGUAUGACGCACAAAAAUUUUUGAUGUUUUGGGAGUAGUUUAAUUCUACGAGAUAUAA